CCAAUCGAACCCGGAGAUAGCUGGUUCUCCUCGAAAUAGCUUUAGGGCUAGCCUCAUGGAUCAUUGAUGGGGGUAGAGCACUGAAUGUGCGCGGGGGCCACAAAGCCUACCAAACGCUAUCAAACUUCGAAUACCAUACAAUGCAGACCAUGGGAGUCAGUCCGCGAGAGAUAAGUUCCGCGGGCAAAAGGGGAACACCCCAGAUCAACCGCUAAGGUCCCCAAGUUCACGUUAAGUGGAGAAGGAUGUGGAAUUGCACAGACAACCAGGAUGUUGGCUCAGAAGCAGCCACACAUUUAAAGAGUGCGUAAUAGCUCACUGGUCGAGUGAUUGUGCGCCGAAGAUGUCCGGGGCUAAACGUGACACCGAAGCGAUGGGUGCAUCUGAAAGGAUGCGCGGUAGAGGAGCAAUGUGCAGAGGCAGAAGCCGUAUCGAGAGGCACGGUGGACACUGCACAAGAGAGAAUGCCGGUAUGAGUAGCGAGAGGCAUGCGAGAAACAUGCCCGUCGAAAGCCCAAGGUUUCCUGGGGAAGGUUCAUCCGCCCAGGGUAAGUCGGGGCCUAAGCCGAGGACGGAAGUCGUAGGCGAUGGACAGCAGGUGUAGAUUCCUGCACUACCGAUGGAAUGAAGCAGUGACACAGAAGGAUAACUCGAGCAGGGUGAUGGUCAACCCUGUGCAAGCAUCAAGGUUGGGUUGUAGUGAAGUACGCAAUCCUAUAAGCUGAGGUGUGAUGCGGACCGAAAUUUCAGUAGGGAAGCGAGUGAGUUCACGCUGGCGAGAAAAGCUGCUAGUACAUCCAAAGGUACCCGUACCGGAAACCGACGCAGGUGGGCGAGGAGAGAAUCCUGAGACGAACGGGAGAACCCUUGUUAAGGAACUCGGCAAAAUGACCCCGUAACUUCGGGAUAAGGGGUGCCUGCGAGAGCAGGCCGCAGAGAAUAGUCACAAGCGACUGUUUAGCAAAAACACAGGUAUCUGCGAAAGCGAGAGCUGACGUAUAGGUGCUGACACCUGCCCGGUGCUGGAAGGUUAAGGGAACAUGUUAGAGCAAUCGAAGCAUCGAACCGAAGCCCCAGUAAACGGCGGCCGUAACUAUAACGGUCCUAAGGUAGCGAAAUUCCUUGUCGGGUAAGUUCCGACCCGCACGAAUGGUGUAACGACUUGUGAGCUGUCUCAACAGGGGGCCCGGUGAAAUUGAAGUAUGGGUGAAGAUGCCCAUUACCCGCGACUGGACGGAGAGACCCCGUAGAGCUUUACUGCAGCCUGAUAUUGAGUUUCGGUAACUGAUGCACAGGAUAGGUGGGAGUCUGAGAGACAUGGGUUUCGGCUCAUGUGGAGACGGUGUUGGGAUACCACUCUUCGGUUACUGAAAUUCUAACAUAGCUCUGUGAAACCAGAGGAUGGACAGUGUCAGGUGGACAGUUUGACUGGGGCGGUCGCCUCCGAAAGAGUAACGGAGGCGCCCAAAGGUACCCUCAGAAUGGAUGGAAACCAUUCGAAGAGCGCAAAGGCAGAAGGGUGCCUGACUGCGAGAGUGACAACUCGAGCAGAGACGAAAGUCGGGCUUAGUGAUCCGGCGGUAUUGAGUGGAAAAGCCGUCGCUUAACGGAUAAAAGCUACCUCGGGGAUAACAGGCUGAUCUCCCCCAAGAGUCCACAUCGACGGGGAGGUUUGGCAC
RNAcentral lists this ribosomal RNA (1679 nucleotides) under human gut metagenome. RNAcentral describes it as "bacterial LSU rRNA". It matches the Rfam family "Bacterial large subunit ribosomal RNA", at positions 829 to 2524 of the family's 2925-position model. The record is from RNAcentral.